This 2335-nucleotide small RNA is filed under the name Pongo abelii (Sumatran orangutan). Its description in RNAcentral is "retained intron". Lineage: Eukaryota; Metazoa; Chordata; Mammalia; Primates; Hominidae. The record is from RNAcentral.
GAAAGAGGGGCUGAAAGUCGCCCUUGAAUAACCACUGCAGUCGCACCUACAAAGGUGCAGUCCCCACAGCCUCAUAGCUGCUUGUAGGUGCCAUCUCUUAAGGCCAUUACCAUAGCAAUUAAUACUGAACAUGGGCUUUGGAGCAGACAAACACUCAAACCAAACAGGGGGGAUGGAGGAAAGGAGCUUCAGUGGCAAGAUCCCCUGGACUCCUGUCCUGGCCCCUCCUCCUCCUGCCCCACCCCUGCUCUCCUCCUGCUCCCCCUCUCAGAGCAUCCCCUGACCCUGCUCCUCUCCCAGGUGUAUUUCGAGCUUAAGAACCACCCAGAGAUGAGAUUCUUCCACUGGUUCAGCAAGUGGAGGACGCUGCAUCGUGACCAGGAGUGCGAGGUCACCUGGUACAUGUCCUGGAGCCCCUGCACAAAGUGUACAAGGAAUGUGGCCACGUUCCUGGCCGAGGACCCGAAGGUUACCCUGACCAUCUUUGUUGCCCGCCUCUACUACUUCUGGGACCCAGAUUACCAGGAGGCGCUUCGCAGCCUGUGUCGGGAAAGAGACGGUCCGCGUGCCAACAUGAAAAUCAUGAAUUACGACGAAUUUCAGCACUGUUGGAACAAGUUCGUGUACAGCCAAAGAGAGCUAUUUGAGCCUUGGAAUAAUCUGCCUAAAUAUUAUAUAGUACUGCACAUCAUUCUGGGGGAGAUUCUCAGGUGAGGGUCUCCCUCCAGGCUCAUCGCCUGGCUCCUCUCACCUCCUGCUCAUCCUCUUGAGGCUUCUCCUCUGUCCCAGACCAGGUCCUCUCCUGGCCAGGCCCUCCCGCCCUCCCUCCUGCCCGCUGCCUGCCCUCAUGAUUACACCCCCUCAUCCACACUCCUCGUGCUCCCUCCGCCUUGGUGCCUCCCACCUGCUUUCCUGGGCUCUUCCUGUGAGUGAGAGGCCCCUCCUGCCUCCAGAGAGCGACCUCCAUCCACCCCCACAGCCUGGGAGCCCCAACCUGGCUCCUUCCAUCUCCCUGGCAUAACCGAAUUUGUCAUAAAACUGGACGUACGAAGUGGGCAUGAAUAGUCACAAGCCCGACAGUCGGAAGUUUUGAGCAACGUCCUUAAAGGCCGACCUGAGCCCCUGAGAAGGAGCUGCCUCCGUGGAAACAGAGCUUCAGGCUUUGGCUGCCAUAGAUGUGCCGGGCCGGGUGCCCACAGGGCAGGCAUUUAUUUUCUCACAGAUCUGGAGGCUGCAAGUCCAAGCUGGAGGGGUAGGCGGGGUUGUGUCUUCUGCAGCCGCUCCUCCUGGCUGGCAGGGGGUCCCUUCCGGCCGUGUCCUCUCUGGCCUUUCCUCUGUGCACCUGCACUCCUGGGGUCUCUCUGCCUCCAAAUGUCCUCCUCGUUUAUGGACCCCAGCCAUGUGAAUUUGGGCCCACAUUAAAGGUCUCAUUUAAGUUAAUCAUCUGAUGAAAGGACCUGUCUCCAGGCCAGGUGCAGAGGCUCAUGCCUAUAAUCCCAGCACUUUGGGAGUCCAAGGCGGGUGGAUCACCUGAGGUCAGGAGUUCGACACCAGCCUGGCCAACAUGUUAAAACCCCAUCUCUACCAAAAAUACAAAAAUUAGCCGGGAGUGGUGGUGUGCGCCUAUAAUUCUAGCUACUCGGGAGGCUGAGGCAGGAGAAUCGCUUGAACCCGGGAGGCAGAGGUUGCGGUGAGCCCAGACUGUGCCACUGCACUCCAGCCUGGGCAAAAAAGCGAAACUUCUCCUCAAACAAACAAGAAAGAAAGGACCUGUUUCCAAAUACAGCCACCCUUUGAGGGAGCGGGGGUUAAGGCUUCAAUACAUUGAUUUUGGGGAGAAACAGUGAAGCCCACGGCAACAAGCUGCAGUCAUUGUGGGCGGGCCUGGGUGGGGAGUGCAGGGGUUCCUGUCCUGUGUGUCUGUUUCCCAGGGGAGUCCUGACCUGACUCUCACAGCCCCUCCACCCAGAUGUUCCUGCGUGCUUCACCUACCCCAUUCCUUCUGCACCCAACACUCUGAGCCCCUCCUUAGCCGCCUCAACAGGCUCCCCUGCUCCCCCACUCCCGGGCUGCUCCUCUUCUCAGCCUCUCUCUGGGCCUCUCUGGGGUCCCGACAUGACCCCUCAGCUGAUGCCUGUGGCUUCCCCAGCCAGAAUCUUCCCAGUUCCAGGCUGGGCUCUGCAGAGUCCUAUCAAAGGUCGCAUCCUCCCCUCUGUCCAGUCCAGGGUGAAGAUCUGGUGUUUCUGGUUUGGAAAUGCCUCUGCACUGGGUGCCAAUAAUUCACUUUUAACUUUAUAAUUUGUGGUUUUGUAAGGACAGGUAUUUUUGGCAACAG